Molecule: RNA transcript, 1593 nt
Organism: Piliocolobus tephrosceles (Ugandan red Colobus)
Lineage: Eukaryota; Metazoa; Chordata; Mammalia; Primates; Cercopithecidae
Exons: 1
Source: RefSeq, a predicted model, not a curated record
GAUGAUUCAUUUUCUCCUUUCAACUUCUUGAAAUUGGACGUGAAGGAUGUGGGCCCAGAAUCAUGUGGCCAGCCCACCCCCUGCUGGCCCUCACCAGCCUUGGAGCCUGUUCUAGGAAAGGCCUCCCAGCAUCUGGGACUAGAGAAUGGGCAGCCCCUCUGCCUCCUGGAGCUGAACUGGGGUGGAACUGAGUGUGUUCUUAGCUCUACCGGGAGGACAGCUGCCUGUUUCCUCCCCACCAGCCUCCUCCCCAUGUCCCCCUGCUGCUUGCUGGGUCCCGAAGCUGUCUAUCUACCUGGGAGACCGGGGACCACAGGCCUUAGGGGGAUACAGGGAGUCGCCUUCUGUUACCAACCCUCACCCUCCUCCAGGACACCACUAGGUGGUGCUGGAUGCUUGUUCUUUGGCCAGCCAAGGUUCAAGGCCAUUCUCCCCAUGGGAUCUUGAGGGACCAAGCGACUGGGAUUGGGUUUGGGAAGGGGUUUCACCCUGAUCAUUGCCCUAGCCAGGUUCCCAGGAGGCCUCACCACACUCCCUUUCCGGGCCAGGGCAAGGAUCUCGUGAUGCUGUCUGCUUGAGAGCCUGCCACCGUGUGUUGGGAGUGUGGGCCAGGCUGAGUGCAUAGGUGGCGGGGCGGUGAGCAUGGGCCUGGGUGUGUGUGAGCUCAGGCCUAGGUGCGCAGUGUGGAGAGGGGUGUUGUGGGGGAAGAGGUGUGGUUUCAACGUGUGUGUGUGCAGGGGGUGGGUUAGCGUGGGUUAGGGGAACAUGCGUGUGAGCGUGCUGGGGGGCGUGUGAGAUGCGUGGCUGCCGGUGAAUGUGUCCGCAGUUGAGAGGUUGGAGCAGGAUGAGGGAAUCCUGUCACCAUCAAUAAUCACUUGUGGAGCGCCAGCUCUGCCCAAGGCCCCACCCGGGCGGACAGCCAGGACCUCUCCAUGGCCAGGCUGCCUGUGUGCGUGUUCCCUGUCUGGUGCCCCUUUGCCGGCCCCCUGCAAACCUCACAGGGCCCCCACACAACAGUGCCCUCCAGAAGCAGUCCCUCGGGAACAGAGGAAGGAAAAUGGGGAUGUCCGGGGCUCUUUCCAGCCUCCUUUUCUCCUUGCCUUGGCAUGGCUGGCCUUCCCCUCCAAAACACCCAUUCCCCUGCCGCCAGCCCCUUUGCCAUAGCCUGACUUUGUGGAGGGGGAAGGGGCGAUUUGAGGGAGAAGGGGAGAAAGCUUAUGGCGGGGUCUGGUUUUUUCCUCCCUGAGGGUCUUACUGUUCCAGGGUGGCCUCAGGGCGGGCCAGGGCCACACUGUGCCUGCACUCUGGUAAAGGUGACCCCUGCCAUUUACCAGCAGCCCUGGCAUGUUUCUGCCCCCCAGGGAUGGAAUGGAGGGAGCUCCAGAAGUUUUCCGUCCCAAAGGCAGUCUCCGUGGUUGAAGCAGACUGGAUUUUUGCUCUGCCCCGACCCCUUGUCCCUCUUUGAGGGAGGGGAGCUAUGCUAGGACUCCAGCCUCAGGGACUCGGGUGGCCUGUGCUAGCUUCUUUUGAUACUGAGAACUGUUUUAAGGUGGGAGGGUGGCAAGGGACGUGCUUAAUAAAUCAAUUCUCAGC